Molecule: long non-coding RNA, 350 nt
Organism: Salvia splendens (bonfire salvia)
Lineage: Eukaryota; Viridiplantae; Streptophyta; Magnoliopsida; Lamiales; Lamiaceae
Exons: 4
Source: RefSeq, a predicted model, not a curated record
CGAAAUUAAAACACUUAAAACUUUAACGGUGUUCCUCAAAGCGAAGCUUCUUCUUCAAUCACACCCAAUUUCUAUCUCUGGUUUCCCAUUUCUAACUAAAAUUAGGGUUCUAACUGCUUGCUCGUGAGCUGCUCGUAAUCAAUUUUUCGUUGAUUACUCGGUUCAGAAAUGAAGACGAGAGGUUAUGCAGUAGAAAUCACAAACCUCUCUCCUAAUGCAACGGAGAAGGAUGUUCGUGAUUUUCUCACCUUCUGUGGCGCAAUUCAACAUGUUGAAUUUGUCAGAACCGGUGACUCUGAAUGUGUCGCCUAUGUGACUUUCAAAAAUCCGCAUGCUGUGGAAACUGCUGU